GUGCUCGCUUCAGCAGCACAUAUACUAAAAUCAGAACGAUACAGAGAAGAUUAGCAUGGCACCUGUGCAAGGAUGAUUUACAAAUUCAUGAAGCGUUCCAUUUUUUG
This 107-nucleotide small nuclear RNA is filed under the name Suricata suricatta (meerkat). Lineage: Eukaryota; Metazoa; Chordata; Mammalia; Carnivora; Herpestidae. The record is from RNAcentral.